RNAcentral lists this unclassified non-coding RNA (339 nucleotides) under soil metagenome. RNAcentral's name for it is "partial contains 5.8S ribosomal RNA, internal transcribed spacer 2, and large subunit ribosomal RNA". The stretch from base 1 to 120 matches the Rfam family "5.8S ribosomal RNA", at positions 35 to 154 of the family's 154-position model. The record is from RNAcentral.
GAUGAAGAACGUAGCGAAAUGCGAUACGUAGUGUGAAUUGCAGAAUUCAGUGAAUCAUCGAAUCUUUGAACGCACAUUGCACCUCUCGGUAUUCCGGGAGGUAUACCUGUUCGAGCGUCAUUUGUACCCUCAAGCUCUGCUUGGUGUUGGGUGUUUGUUCCGCCUCUGUGUGUGAACUCGCCUCAAAACAAUUGGCAGCCGGCGUACUUGUUUCGGAGCGCAGCACAUUUUGCGAUCCAGAUCAACGUACAGCGGCAUCCAAGAAGCCUUAUUUAACGCUCUUGACCUCGGAUCAGGUAGGGAUACCCGCUGAACUUAAGCAUAUCAAUAAGCGGAGGA